CCGCCCCUUUUUGCUUCUCCUCCCACUGAGUGAUUCAAGCCUUGCGCUUCCCACUUCCGCACCCUCUGCCAGCCAUUGGACUAGCAAAGCCGAACAAGUUGCGGCCGCCGAGCAGCCGGCGCUCCCCGCCUCCUCAUCCUCUCCUCCUCCUUCUUCUCCUUGCCUCGCCGCCGACGUCGCCGCCACCCCGAGGCCUCGCGACCGCCGAGCCCGCAGCCCACGCCACGGCCGACAUGAGCUUCUUGUUUGGUAGUCGCUCCUCUAAAACGUUUAAACCAAAGAAGAACAUACCAGAGGGUUCUCACCAGUAUGAGCUCUUAAAGCAUGCAGAGGCCACACUGGGCAGUGGAAACCUCCGGAUGGCUGUCAUGCUUCCUGAGGGGGAAGAUCUAAAUGAGUGGGUUGCAGUGAACACUGUAGAUUUCUUCAAUCAGAUCAACAUGCUUUAUGGAACAAUCACAGAUUUUUGUACAGAAGAAAGUUGUCCAGUGAUGUCAGCUGGCCCAAAAUAUGAGUAUCAUUGGGCAGAUGGAACAAACAUAAAGAAGCCUAUUAAGUGCUCUGCACCAAAGUACAUUGAUUACCUGAUGACUUGGGUUCAGGACCAGUUGGAUGAUGAGACAUUAUUUCCAUCAAAAAUUGAGGGGGUUGUUUAUCUAUUUACUAGGUGUCCCGUUUCCGAAGAAUUUCAUGUCUGUGGCAAAAACUAUACUCAAACGCCUCUUUAGGGUUUAUGCUCACAUUUAUCAUCAGCAUUUUGACCCUGUGAUCCAGCUGCAGGAGGAAGCACAUCUCAAUACAUCUUUCAAGCACUUUAUUUUUUUUGUCCAGGAAUUCAACCUUAUUGACAGAAGAGAACUUGCACCACUCCAGGAACUGAUCGAAAAACUCACCUCAAAGGACAGAUAAAAGAAUGCAGAUGUGUGCAAAUUAUUCCUCAAAUGAAGCUGUGUGGAGUGCAUUUGGAUUUUGUUUUAUUUUUAUCUUGGUUGUUUUUAUGUUAGGUUUGGGGGGCUUGUUUGGGUUCCUUUUUCUUUAUUCUGAAUAAAUGAAACCAUAUACUAUGGCUAGAGGAAGGCAAGAACCAUUCUCUAUUCAGUUGAUGGGGUAAAUUUUGUCUUAGUGACAUACAGUAUUUUUUCUAACUUGGGGAAUUUUUGAUAAUACUAUAUGUUGAAAGAAAUGCUUAUUGAUUGGACUGCUGAUGGAUGGGGUUCUCCGUUGUGUAAAUUGUGGUUGAUUUUUGAAGUCCCCAAAAGUCUUAUGUUUUUAAGUGCCUUGGCAGGCUCAUUUCUGAGGUGCAAAGCACAGACAUAGAACUGAACAGGGCUUGAAACAAUAUUAGGAUUACUACCCAGGGCACUUACUGAUGCAUGUUUCAAAAUACCUAUUGAUAAAAGCCAUAGUUUACCUAAAUUGGUGAUCUCCAGCUUUUACUACAUUAAAGAAACACAGUUUGUAAAGGUGUGCAUGUAGAGCAUAAAAAAUUAGUAUUUCUUAAUUAUUUUUGAUAUUGAUAGUAAUUCUGUUCAACAGAUGCUUAAAGUUCUACAAGCAGGUCUUUUCCAUCUCUUGAUAUCUGUGAUAUUGAAACUUGAAGAUGUUGAAAUGUAAUACCGGUUACAUUUUGGCUUCUUUCUACAUGUUAACUGCACUGUAGGUGUAAAAAUUCAGGUUAUAUAUAGGUUUGCCAUCUUCAGAGAUGAUGCUGAACUGUGAGGUUUCUUAGCAAUUGCCAAAUGAGCCAUAAAUCUGCAGAAUCCCCUUCUGCUUUGAAGAGGAGGUGAUAGGAGUGUGUGUUUGUUUGCGGGGGGUUAGUUUGAAUGGUGCGUUAUAGAUGGGAUUAAGUACAGGGAGUCAAGUUCAAGAAAGUCCUUUCUCAAAACUCUUGAAUAGAAUGGCAUGAAUAUUUUAAUCAAUAUCUUGUAAGCAAAGUCUUAGAGACUUCCUUUUAGGAAUCAACUUCCAUGAGAAGUUAAAAAUAAAUUACUAAUUUUAGAUAUAGACAUAAACAUGGAAUUUAAGGACUUUGGGGAAAUUGAUCACUUUACAGCAUUUCCAUUCAGUGAAUGGAGCUGGUGUUUGUCAUUUUAAAAUGAUACAGUACCUUCUUUACUUGUUAUAGGCCCAACUUGAAACAUUCUGACUUCUGAUUUUUCCACUGUGAAAGGAAAUCUUUCUUUGCAGUGAUAUCAGAUAAUGAAAGUGCUAAAGUAGUAAAUAACUUUUACAUUUUUUUUUUUUUUGCUAUAACUUUCUGGUGAGCUAUUCCCAUAAGUAAAAAGUUCAGAAACUUAGUUUUUUUUUUGUUUUUUUUUUGCGGUACGCGGGCCUCUCACUGUUGCGGCCUCUCCCGUUGCGGAGCACAGGUUCUGGACGCGCAGGCUCAGCGACCAUGGCUCACGGGCCCAGCUGCUCCGCGGCACGUGGGAUCUUCCCGGACCAGGGCAUGAACCCAUGUCCCCUGCAUUGGCAGGCGGACUCUCAACCACUGCGCCACCAGGGAAGCCCCCAGAAACUUAGUUUUUAAAAUAAAUGUUAACAGUUUUCACUUCAGUUUUACUCUUGUGAAAUAUCCUUUUUCGACUUCCAGUUUUAAUUUUGUCAUUUCUGGUAAAUCUGUUUCCUUCAGUUAGAACUAUAUAUUUUUCCUUUGUUAGGAAUGUAUACCUUUUUCCUUGUAGAAUAGAAGUCUUACUCUGAAAUUGUAUAGACUAAAAACAGUACAAAAGAAUCUAAAAUGAAAUCAGUUUGUUUUUGCCAUUAACAAGUAGAAUAGUGAUACAAUUUACUGCCAUUACAAUUAUGAUCAGUAGGAACUGCCUUUUUCUCAUUUCUAGCAAUCAUUCUCCAAGUACCAACAGUAGAAGGUAACAGGAGAGCCUGGCAGAAGCAAGUAUAUUGGACAUUCAUUGGUCAUACUUACUUAUAAACUGCAAUGAGAACUCGCUGAUUUCCUUAAAACAAAUCUUUUAGUAUCCAAAUAUAUAAUAUCAGCCACUGUGGGUUGAUUCAGAAACAAAAUCUGGCCUCUAGUGAUUUGGGGUACCAUCUAUUUAGGAAGAUGAAGCAUAUGAUUAUUCAAAUAGUCUUCCAAUACUGCAUUUGACUUCAUAUCAACCUAGUAAUAAAGGGGUUGCAAUAGCCAAGUGUGGAGAGACAAGUGAAACAUUGUUUUUGCUCAUUUAAGCCUUAUACAGUAGUACACUGUACAAAUGUUAUUAUAAAUUAAUGUUUAGUAGUCGGACUUACUUUUCCACUCUAUGUAGAUAGGAGUUUCUUAUCACUGUGCCAGAAUCUCAGGUGCCUGCUUAUGAGUAUUCCUUUAAACAGAGGUAUUGGGAAGUAAGGAAAUAUGUAUGUGUAUAUAUAUGGUAACAAAGUAGAGACAUUCUCCCAGGGAGAGGCCUGGCAUUGUGCAUGGUGUUACAUGGCUGCAAAUAGGGAAACACCAGAGCAUGUGAGAAAUAACUGACUUAAUAAAAAGCUGCUUUGAUUCGUUUGGUUCCCAGGAGCAUUAGUAAGAUGCCUUUUAUAAAAUAAGGAUCAAACCUUGGUUUUACAACAUAGUUUGCUUAUAAAUGUCUAUUGGAUUCUUUCCAGAUUUCUUAAUUUGUAAAUAACCAGGAUAAUGAUUUCCCCCCCUGCUCUUCAUACAGAGAUAUAAAGCAGAAGUUGGUUUUCUCAUCUGCUGAUGAAAGCAUAAAAUAUAAAGUAGUAAGUUAACAUAGUAUUGUCACAAAGCUUUGGUUAAAUGUUGAUAGGAAGCAAGUUUUAGUAAUUCUUUUAAAUGACGGUGUAAUGGUGGUGGAGAGAAAUUGAUAACAGAGUGAAAAUCUUUCCAUUAGCUGUAGGUGGUGCUACUGGCUUUCAUUUACUGGCUUGAUUAUUCUGUUUUCCAUAAAAACCAUGGCACUAGGCUGCACUAAAACAUUAAGUAUGUGUUAGCUGGUAGAGGCUUUGGAGGUCAGUUUACCUUAAAUUGAAAGAUUUUAGAUUGCUAUCUCUUCCUACCUUUGUCAUUUUUAAAUGCUAAAUGUUCAGCAUAAAAUUAAGUAGGAAAAGAUAUGUUUAGUGUAUAAUAUGUCGCAGACUGAGGUACUGCCUGGCUUAUCAGGAAAGAUAAAGCACUACAAUCUCUUAUAUUCAAGAAUUACCGAUAAUGUGGAUAUUUAUAUUUUACAUGUAAGCACCACACUGCAUUUUAUGUAUUAGCAUUUUCCUUGCUUAGGGGAAAAUAGCAAAAUGACAGAUUUCUUUUAUACCUUUGUGUACACCCUCUCUGAGAGAGUUUUUGAUAACCACUGAAAUGGUAAAAUAUGUGAGAUAAAAUUAUUAAGUUGUAGGACUUCCUUUUAAGAUAAAUAUGUCAUACCUUGAACAUCUCAAAUGAGAGUUGAUCUUCAGAGUAGUUUCUUUGGGAGCACUACUUAUUCCAGCUAUGCUGCAAAGGUGUAAUGUUUCUAGAACACUUUCAGCGAUGCCUUGAGAAUUGGUUUGUGACUAUGCAAGAAAAUCUGUUUUAUCAUUUCAGUUGCACUGAAAACUUUUCUGGAAGCUUAAUAUGACCUAUCUCAUUCACCAAAACAACUCUACUUUGGCUGUUUUCUUAGAACUAAACUAUUAAGGAAGUUCAAAAGAAUAUGCCAUAGGCUCUGAAUUUGCAGAACAGAAUGUUUUGAGCACUGAUUUGUAGCAUCAUUUAAUAAAAAAAUAGUUUCCUGAUGUCACUGCUUUGAAGUAGGCAGUAUUGUUUGGAUGUACAAGUUUUAUUUUUUUAAUUUAGUUUAAUUACCUUACAGUUAAAUAUAAUAGUUUAAAAAACCAAAGUCCUUUUCUUAUUUUCUAUUUUUGGUCCAUUUUCCUGAUAACUUUUGGAUUAUAUCUUGAGUACUGUAGGGUAGUUUUGAUUGAAGGUAUAUUAAAAAUAAAAAUGGAUCCAAUAUUUAAGAUAGAAGUAGCUUAAGGAAGCAGCAGGCUUUACCUCCAUGCUUUUUUUUUUAAACUUAUUUUCACGCAAAUGAACAAUUUGAAUUUAAAGACUGGAGAUCAUUGUAAAAAGAAAUUGGAAUACAGUUUAUAUAUUAAUUAUGCUGAAUUUAAGUCUGUGUGUCACAGUAAAAUAUUUCAAAUUGUAUAAUCAUUUCAUAUGUGAUUUAUAACUUUAACAUUUUGAAUGUCUUUUUAAAAGAUAUGAGACAAGAAGUAUAUUUGAAAAUGUCACUGCAUACCAAGAGGAAAACUUAAUUUAUUUUGAAACUUAUCUGGGAUAUUAAAGAAUAUACCAAUUCCUAGAAACACUAUUCUAGAUCUAUACGGACCGCUCCUAAAAUGAUUUAAAUAUCAGCAUUUUGUCAUAAUAUUAAGUUUCACCAUAGGAAUUACAGUUGUUGAGCUGUCAGUUUAAUGGUAUAUGAGAUAACUGUUUAGAGCUAAAGCUAUUUCAUGAUUUAAUGGAAAAGUUUAAUUUUAAGAUAUAAUAACAAUUCUGACUGCAGACAAUUUGAAUUUUUGAGGCUCUCCUAAUGGGCUAAUUAUAGAGAAAAAUUCAUUUUGAAGGUAUAAAACUGUGCUCCAUGUCUGCCACUUGUAGCUGAACUGAUACUUAAAUUUUGACAAAAGAGAGAAAAUACAGAUUAAAAUACUGAGUACUCUCAGUUUUGCAAGUGUGAUACAAAUUUCCUUUUUUGCAUAUAAUACUACACAAUAGAAAAAUUUGGAUUAGAAUCCUCAAAGAUAGUGAAAUCACUGGCCUUUCCAAACUUAUGUUUACUUGUCAUCUCCUUCUCCUUGGAGGUAAAUUACUUCCUUACUGGUGUUGACUUUCCAUAUACUCCUCUCUCCCCUAUCUCACAACACACACACACACACACACACACACACACACAGAUGAAAAACAAAACAGAUUGAUUAUAUAGGUCCUCACUGUUAGUGAUUCUGAAGUGAUUGCUGUCAAUACAUAGGUUGCACCUGAAGUGUUGGAUGAUACAAUUUACAUAAGCAUUUUUGGUUGGUUUUGGUUGAUAGCUUUCUUUAAACUACAUCACUGAAGCUGAGAUUACUAGAGAUAUAAAUUUAAAUCUUUUAUUAAUAUUUAAUUUCUGUUAUAUAUUAUUAAAUUCUUAUAUGUGUGGGUGUUUCUUACAGGUUUGCAGGUUUUCAUUUUGUUUACUUAAUUGUGCAAGUUGUAAAAUAGAUUCUUGCAUUUUCAUUUUAAGAACACUUUUCUCCUUAAAUUGUUCUGCAGAGAUAACUGUUUUUAGGGGAAAUAGUUUUUUACAGCCACUAAAUUGUAUUUGUUAUUUUUGUACAUGCAUACUAGGGUGGUAAGGACACUAAUCUUGUGGGGAAAACUUAAAUUUGUUUUAUUUGAACUUUCCCUAUACAUUAUUACUAAAAAUUAUCUAGGAAUAGCAUCACGAGAUCUAGGUUGAGAGAGAAUACAAUAAACAUGAGAAUACUUAGUUUUAAUAGAAUCAUUUCUGAGGACAAAACCAGAAUACUGCCAGUGCCAUAAAUGGAAGCAUGAGGCAGCAUUCACACUGCGCAACUGUUGCAGAGAAUGAGUAAGACAGGAUCCUGCUCUAAUGGAGAUGGACAAUUUCUCUGUAUUAAAGUAGCUGAAUCUAAAACAUGAAAUACAACAUGGGGGCUAUAUUGUAAACUGUGCCAAGAUUACUCAAAUUGUAGUUACUUUUGAUCAGACUUCAACUGUUUUCUCGUUUUUGUUUUAAAAGGAGAUACUGAGGGAAUUCCCUGGCAGUUCAGUGGUUAAGACUUGGCGCUUUCACUGCUGGAGGCCCAAGUUCUAUCCCUGGUCAGGGAACUAAGAUCCCACAAACCAUGUAGUGUGGUAAGAACUAAAAAAUAAAAGGGGAUACUGAAUGUCGGAAAAUCUGUAAUAUGUUUUAAUUGAGAGAUGUAAAUAAUGUAUACAGACUUGUAUGUCAUGGGAUUGGAAAUAUUUAAAUUCUAGGGUUUUUUUUCUUUAAAGGAAGAAACUGAAUGUCUAUUUAAAAAAAUAAUAAAUAGUUAUGUUUGGCCAUGAAUCCUGA
Molecule: RNA transcript, 7055 nt
Organism: Orcinus orca (killer whale)
Lineage: Eukaryota; Metazoa; Chordata; Mammalia; Artiodactyla; Delphinidae
Gene: MOB1B
Gene name: MOB kinase activator 1B
Exons: 6
Source: RefSeq, a predicted model, not a curated record